AAUACCCUAUUUUUGCCAGGGUCAAAAGGGCCCGAAUUACAAACGGGACUGAAUGACCCAAUUAAUAAGACAAAGCAGUGGCCCAAUUAAUUCAAAUGCAAUUACAACAGAAUAGGCCCAAAAUUAACAGUGGCCCAAGUAGUUUCAGAAACCCUAGGGUUUCUAGGGUAAACCGCAGCCUUCCUCAAACGCUGCAGCCAAGCAUCACAGCAUGAUCUUCAGACCUGCACAUCAAGAAAGAAAGCGGCAGUAUAUGGAAAGGAAAAGAUUUGCAAAUCAAAUCAAAGAUUGUUUCUUUAUAUUGUUGAUACUUCGGCUAUAAAAGAGCCAUCGAUAUACUGUAAUGAGGCCCCCCCUGAAAUCGAAAAUCAAUAAAAAAACAGGGAAUUACACAAUACAACAAGAACAAAGAAUUGAACCAAGAGGUUCACAUUUACAGUUUUUUUACUUAUUUAUUUUUCGUUUCGCUUUAGUUUAUUUAUUAUUAUCGGUAUUUUUACAUACGAAUAAAACAAAAUAAUAAAAAGGAAAGAAAUAACCUUUAGUGGUGCCCAGAUCGCCGUCGAUGGCCGAGGGUGUCGUCUCC
This 586-nucleotide long non-coding RNA is filed under the name Gossypium raimondii (Peruvian cotton). Its description in RNAcentral is "long non-coding RNA (GRAI_LNC001190)". The record is from RNAcentral. Lineage: Eukaryota; Viridiplantae; Streptophyta; Magnoliopsida; Malvales; Malvaceae.